AUGCACAUCAUUUUCGAAGCAAGUCUGAGUGGCACACUUGACGAGUUCGACUUCUCCGCCUUUCCCCAGCUGAAGUUUCUCUACCUGUCCGACACUGGUCUGUACGGAACAAUUCCAGCAGGGAUUGGCAACCUGACGAGUUUGGUCAGGUUAGUGAUUUCCAGCAACCCAUAUUUGAGGGGCGCCAUUCCACGCAGCAUUGGCCAGCUGAAGCACCUUGCUGUAUUGCGGCUAACCUUUUUGGGGCUCAGUGCCACGCUGCCUGAAGAGGUAGGUAAUUUGACGGCCUUGGAGGAUCUCAAUCUUAGUUUCGUUACUUUGACUGGACCAAUCCCACCAACAAUUGGGAUGCUUGGGAAGCUCCAGGAGCUGAGACUGGUAGGUAACAAUCUUACAGGGAGCAUACCAAUGGAGAUUGGAAACAUGACAGAGCUGCAGACCAUGUUCCUUCAGGGUAAUUAUUUGGAAGGGCAGCUGCCAGGUACCAUCUCUCAUCUGGUAAAACUCCAGUCUUUGGAUGUGUCUACAAAUCAGCUGGUAGGACACAUCUUCCCCGAGCUUGGGAAUAGCAGCUUCCUGAAAUUGGGCGGAAUAAGCGUAGCGUAUAACAACUUCUCUGGGAUGUUCCCAUCAUCCAUUUGUGUAGGAGGAGGGCUGGUUAUGAUCAGUGCUGAAUACAAUGGAUUUACUGGCUUUCAACAUCAGGCCUUUCAAAACUGCACAACCCUGCACUAUGUUGACUUCACGGCAAACAACAUUGUUGCAGAGCUAAGGGGCAUUUUUAGUGAGCAUCCAGGAGAGCUGACCAGCAUGGCUUUCAGUCAGAAUCAGCUGCAUGGCACGCUUCUGACAGGCUGUAUUCCGGAAGACAUUGGCAAUCUAGUACUACUGGAAUCCUUGGACCUUUCUGGGAACCAACUCUCGGGGAAAAUUCCUCAAAGCUUGGCAGCUUUGAAGAGCAUCAGUGUGCUGAACCUCUCAACCAACGAGUUAUCAGGGAGGAUACCUACGGGCGAUCAGCUGCGGACACUCACAGAUCCGUCCAUAUACAGUAAUAAUCCUGGGCUAUGCGGGGUUCCGUUGGAAGACUGCAUAAACUCCUCGACACCGACGCAAACUGAAAAAAGCCAGGAUGAAGAUAGAGAGGCACUCUGGCUGUAUUGCUUCGUGGCUGCUGGGUUCAUCUUUGGGUUCUGGCUGUACUGGGGCAUCUUCUUAUUUCGCAGCGAGACAUGGAGGUGUGCAUUCUAUCAGUAUGUGGACAACAUGCAAGCAAAGGCAACCAAGAAGAUGUACAGCUGCAUGUCGUGCUUCCAGGCCAGCGGCUCUGAAUGA
RNAcentral lists this ribosomal RNA (1335 nucleotides) under Triticum aestivum (bread wheat). RNAcentral describes it as "partial small subunit ribosomal RNA". The record is from RNAcentral. Lineage: Eukaryota; Viridiplantae; Streptophyta; Magnoliopsida; Poales; Poaceae.